RNAcentral lists this ribosomal RNA (163 nucleotides) under Pinguicula balcanica. RNAcentral's name for it is "5.8S rRNA". It matches the Rfam family "5.8S ribosomal RNA". Rfam says of the family: 5.8S ribosomal RNA (5.8S rRNA) is a component of the large subunit of the eukaryotic ribosome. The record is from RNAcentral. Lineage: Eukaryota; Viridiplantae; Streptophyta; Magnoliopsida; Lamiales; Lentibulariaceae.
GACUCUCGGCAACGGAUAUCUCGGCUCUCGCAUCGAUGAAGAACGUAGCAAAAUGCGAUACUUGGUGUGAAUUGCAGAAUCCCGUGAACCAUUGAAUCUUUGAACGCAAGUUGCGCCCGAAGCCAUCCGGCCGAGGGCACGCCUGCCUGGGCGUCACGCAUCG